GCGAGUGGCGAACGGGUGAGUAACACGUGGAUAACCUGCCUCAAGGCUGGGGAUAACAUUUGGAAACAGAUGCUAAUACCGAAUAAAACUUAGUAUCGCAUGAUAUCAAGUUAAAAGGCGCUACGGCGUCACCUGGAGAUGGAUCCGCGGUGCAUUAGUUAGUUGGUGGGGUAAAGGCUUACCAAGACAAUGAUGCAUAGCCGAGUUGAGAGACUGAUCGGCCACAUUGGGACUGAGACACGGCCCAAACUCCUACGGGAGGCUGCAGUAGGGAAUCUUCCACAAUGGGCGCAAGCCUGAUGGAGCAACGCCGCGUGUGUGAUGAAGGCUUUCGGGUCGUAAAGCACUGUUGUAUGGGAAGAAAUGCUAAAAUAGGGAAUGAUUUUAGUUUGACGGUACCAUACCAGAAAGGGACGGCUAAAUACGUGCCAGCAGCCGCGGUAAUACGUAUGUCCCGAGCGUUAUCCGGAUUUAUUGGGCGUAAAGCGAGCGCAGACGGUUGAUUAAGUCUGAUGUGAAAGCCCGGAGCUCAACUCCGGAAUGGCAUUGGAAACUGGUUAACUUGAGUGUUGUAGAGGUAAGUGGAACUCCAUGUGUAGCGGUGGAAUGCGUAGAUAUAUGGAAGAACACCAGUGGCGAAGGCGGCUUACUGGACAACAACUGACGUUGAGGCUCGAAAGUGUGGGUAGCAAACAGGAUUAGAUACCCUGGUAGUCCACACCGUAAACGAUGAAUACUAGGUGUUAGGAGGUUUCCGCCUCUUAGUGCCGAAGCUAACGCAUUAAGUAUUCCGCCUGGGGAGUACGACCGCAAGGUUGAAACUCAAAGGAAUUGACGGGGACCCGCACAAGCGGUGGAGCAUGUGGUUUAAUUCGAAGCAACGCGAAGAACCUUACCAGGUCUUGACAUCCUUUGAAGCUUUUAGAGAUAGAAGUGUUCUCUUCGGAGACAAAGUGACAGGUGGUGCAUGGUCGUCGUCAGCUCGUGUCGUGAGAUGUUGGGUUAAGUCCCGCAACGAGCGCAACCCUUAUUGUUAGUUGCCAGCAUUCAGUUGGGCACUCUAGCGAGACUGCCGGUGACAAACCGGAGGAAGGCGGGGACGACGUCAGAUCAUCAUGCCCCUUAUGACCUGGGCUACACACGUGCUACAAUGGCGUAUACAACGAGUUGCCAACCUGCGAAGGUGAGCUAAUCUCUUAAAGUACGUCUCAGUUCGGACUGCAGUCUGCAACUCGACUGCACGAAGUCGGAAUCGCUAGUAAUCGCGGAUCAGCACGCCGCGGUGAAUACGUUCCCGGGUCUUGUACACACCGCCCGUCACACCAUGGGAGUUUGUAAU
This 1339-nucleotide ribosomal RNA is filed under the name Leuconostoc citreum. RNAcentral's name for it is "bacterial SSU rRNA". It matches the Rfam family "Bacterial small subunit ribosomal RNA", at positions 91 to 1418 of the family's 1533-position model. Lineage: Bacteria; Bacillati; Bacillota; Bacilli; Lactobacillales; Lactobacillaceae. The record is from RNAcentral.